CUAGGGGCCGAGAGGUUACUGAACCCUAUCAAACUAAGAAUGCCAGAUAAUUGUUUUCCGGGAGUCAGACGGCGUGAGAUAAGUUUCGUCGUCAAAAGGGAAAGAGCCCAGACCCACAGCUAAGGUCCCAAAGUAUAGUUAAGUGGAAAAGGAUGUGGGGUUGCCCAGACAACCAGGAUGUUGGCUUAGAAGCAGCCACUCAUUAAAAGAGUGCGUAAUAGCUCACUGGUCGAGUGACCCUGCGCCGAAAAUUCAACGGGGCUAAAUUAUACACCGAAGCUUGGGAUACCGCAAGGUAUGGUAGGAGAGCGUUCUGUAAGGAGUGAAGUGAGAGCGAAAGCGUUCGUGGACUUUACAGAAGUGAGAAUGCCGGAAUGAGUAGCGAGAAAUAUGUGAGAAUCAUAUUGGCCGAAAGUCUAAGGUUUUUGGAGGAAGGUUCGUCCGCUCCAAGUAAGUCGGGAGCUAAGGUGAGGCCUAACGGCGUAGCCGAUGCACAUACGGUAGAUAUUCCGUAACCACCGAAAGAUUUAAACACAGGGACACCUUGAAAGGGCAUAUCCCGGGAGUUGGUUUACCCGGGCGUAAGGGAUCGAAAUUUGAGUAGAGAAGUAUGUUUGGACGAGGGCGAGAAAAGCUGUGUGUAUAUUUUAGGUGCCCGUACCGCAAACCGACACAGGUGGACAGGAAGAGGAUUCUAAGGCCAACGGGAGAAGGGUAAUUAAGGAACUCGGCAAAUUGACCCCGUAACUUAGGGAUAAGGGGUGCUCAUAGGAAUAUGAGCCGCAGAGAAUAGGCCCAGGCAACUGUUUAUCAAAAACACAGGUCUCUGCCAAAUCGAAAGAUGAAGUAUAGGGGCUGACACCUGCCCGGUGCUGGAAGGUUAAGAGGAGGAGUGAGAGCUCCGAAUUGAAGCCCCAGUAAACGGCGGCCGUAACUAUAACGGUCCUAAGGUAGCGAAAUUCCUUGUCGGGUAAGUUCCGACCCGCACGAAUGGUGUAAUGAUCUGGGCACUGUCUCAAUUACCCGCCCGGCGAAAUUGUAGUACCGGUGAAGAUGCCGGUUACCCGCGACAAGACGGAAAGACCCCAUGGAGCUUUACUGCAGCUUGAUAUUGGGUUUCGGUAAUCUAUGUACAGGAUAGGCGGGAGACUAGGAAGUAAAGGCGCCAGCUUUUACGGAGUCGCCCUUGGGAUACCGCUCUUAGAUUGCUGGAAUUCUAACCUGCGGCCAUGAAACUGGUCGGGGAACAUUGUCAGGCGGGCAGUUUGACUGGGGCGGUCGCCUCCUAAAG
Molecule: ribosomal RNA, 1291 nt
Filed under: human gut metagenome
Description: bacterial LSU rRNA
Rfam family: Bacterial large subunit ribosomal RNA
Source: RNAcentral